Molecule: ribosomal RNA, 274 nt
Filed under: uncultured bacterium
Lineage: Bacteria
Description: partial 16S ribosomal RNA
Rfam family: Bacterial small subunit ribosomal RNA
Source: RNAcentral
CUACUGAGGGUGCAAGCGUUAAUCGGAAUUACUGGGCGUAAAGCGCACGUAGGCGGUUUAUUAAGUCAGAUGUGAAAGCCCUGGGCUUAACCUGGGAACUGCAUUUGAGACUGGUAGGCUAGAGUAUGGUAGAGGAUAGUGGAAUUCCGGGUGUAGCGGUGAAAUGCGUAGAUAUCCGGAGGAACAUCAGUGGCGAAGGCGGCUAUCUGGACCAAUCCUGACGCUGAGGUGCGAAAGCGUGGGGAGCAAACAGGAUUAGAAACCCCAGUAGUCC